RNAcentral lists this ribosomal RNA (465 nucleotides) under Vreelandella stevensii. RNAcentral's name for it is "partial 16S ribosomal RNA". It matches the Rfam family "Bacterial small subunit ribosomal RNA", at positions 338 to 795 of the family's 1533-position model. The record is from RNAcentral. Lineage: Bacteria; Pseudomonadati; Pseudomonadota; Gammaproteobacteria; Oceanospirillales; Halomonadaceae.
CCUACGGAGGGCAGCAGUGGGGAAUAUUGGACAAUGGGGGCAACCCUGAUCCAGCCAUGCCGCGUGUGUGAAGAAGGCCCUCGGGUUGUAAAGCACUUUCAGUGAGGAAGAACGCCUGGUGGUUAAUACCCAUCAGGAAAGACAUCACUCACAGAAGAAGCACCGGCUAACUCCGUGCCAGCAGCCGCGGUAAUACGGAGGGUGCGAGCGUUAAUCGGAAUUACUGGGCGUAAAGCGCGCGUAGGUGGCUUGAUAAGCCGGUUGUGAAAGCCCCGGGCUCAACCUGGGAACGGCAUCCGGAACUGUCAAGCUAGAGUGCAGGAGAGGAAGGUAGAAUUCCCGGUGUAGCGGUGAAAUGCGUAGAGAUCGGGAGGAAUACCAGUGGCGAAGGCGGCCUUCUGGACUGACACUGACACUGAGGUGCGAAAGCGUGGGUAGCAAACAGGAUUAGAUACCCUAGUAGUC